AGUGGGAUAGCUGGGUCAAAUGGUGAUCCUAUUCCAAGUUUUCCAAGCCAUCUCCAUACUGCUUUCCAUGGUAGUUGCACCAAUUUGCAGUCCCACCAGCAAU
This 103-nucleotide microRNA precursor is filed under the name Marmota monax (woodchuck). The record is from RNAcentral. Lineage: Eukaryota; Metazoa; Chordata; Mammalia; Rodentia; Sciuridae.